Molecule: ribosomal RNA, 504 nt
Filed under: uncultured bacterium
Lineage: Bacteria
Description: bacterial SSU rRNA
Rfam family: Bacterial small subunit ribosomal RNA
Source: RNAcentral
GACGAACGCUGGCGGCGUGGAUUAGGCAUGCAAGUCGAACGGUAUCAUCCUUUCGGGGGUGAGAGAGUGGCGAACUGGUGAGUAACACGUAGGUUAUCUACCCUCAAGACGGGGACAACCCAGGGAAACUUGGGCUAAUACCGGAUGUGAGCAACUUUUAGUUGUUUGAAAGGUGGCGUAAGCUGUCGCUUGGGGAUGAGCCUGCGUCCUAUUAGUUAGUUGGUGAGGUAACGGCUCACCUAGGCAAUGAUAGGUAGGCGGCCUUAACGGGUGGUCGCCCACACUGGGAUUGAGAUACGGCCCAGACUCCUACGGGAGGCAGCAGUCGAGAAUAGUCUACAAUGGUCGGAAGACUGAUAGUGCGACGCCGCGUGAACGAUGAAUCCCUUCGGGGUGUAAAGUUCUUUUAUAUGUGAGCAGUGCUUCUUAUAUUAACAGUAUGGGGAGAGAGAUAUUAGCAUAUGAAUAAGCAACGGCUAACUCCGUGCCAGCAGCCGGGUAACG